RNAcentral lists this unclassified non-coding RNA (406 nucleotides) under soil metagenome. RNAcentral describes it as "partial contains 5.8S ribosomal RNA, internal transcribed spacer 2, and large subunit ribosomal RNA". The stretch from base 1 to 121 matches the Rfam family "5.8S ribosomal RNA", at positions 35 to 154 of the family's 154-position model. The record is from RNAcentral.
GAUGAAGAACGCAGCGAAAUGCGAUAAGUAAUGUGAAUUGCAGAAUUCAGUGAAUCAUCGAAUCUUUGAACGCACCUUGCGCCCUUUGGCCAUUCCGAAGGGCAUGCCUGUUUGAGUAUCAUGAACACCUCAACUCUUCAUGGUUUUCCAUGAUGAGCUUGGACUUUGGGGGUCUUGCUGGCCUGUGGGUCGGCUCCUCUCAAAUGAAUCAGCUUGCCGGUUUUUGGUGGGCAUCACAGGUGUGAUAACUAUCUACGCUUGUGGUUUUGCACCAGGGUAACCUUCAGCAGUGGAGGUUCACUGGAGCUUACAAAUGUCUCUCCUCUGUGAGGACAGCCCUUUGAAUGUUUGAUCUCAAAUCAGGUAGGACUACCCGCUGAACUUAAGCAUAUCAAUAAGCGGAGGA